CAUGUCUACCAUGCUCCCUCGCAGUUCCCACAAUCCCCAGCACAGCAUUAUACUGAUACAGCAUGGGGAUUGUGGGAACCGUGAGGGAGCAUGGUAGACAU
Pelobates cultripes (western spadefoot toad) is the source of this 101-nucleotide non-coding RNA. Lineage: Eukaryota; Metazoa; Chordata; Amphibia; Anura; Pelobatidae. The record is from the annotation of a GenBank genome assembly.